This 72-nucleotide transfer RNA is filed under the name bovine gut metagenome. It matches the Rfam family "tRNA". Rfam says of the family: Transfer RNA (tRNA) molecules are approximately 80 nucleotides in length. Their secondary structure includes four short double-helical elements and three loops (D, anti-codon, and T loops). Further hydrogen bonds mediate the characteristic L-shaped molecular structure. tRNAs have two regions of fundamental functional importance: the anti-codon, which is responsible for specific mRNA codon recognition, and the 3' end, to which the tRNAs corresponding amino acid is attached (by aminoacyl-tRNA synthetases). tRNAs cope with the degeneracy of the genetic code in two manners: having more than one tRNA (with a specific anti-codon) for a particular amino acid; and 'wobble' base-pairing, i.e. permitting non-standard base-pairing at the 3rd anti-codon position. The record is from RNAcentral.
GAGCAUAGCUCAGUUGGUUCAGAGCAUCUGCCUUACAAGCAGAGGGUCAUAGGUUCGACUCCUAUUGUUCCC